AAGCCAGCUGGGAGGAGACCUUUUUCCAAAGUCACUCACACAGCCUCAGGUGUUUACAGGCCUCAGGUCCUUGCUGGCUGUUGGCCAGAGGCCUCAGUUCCUUGCCACAAGGGCCUCCCCAUAGGUUACUCACAACAUAACAGUUUGCAGCCCCCAGAACAAGGACCCCAGAGACAGAGUGAGAGAGGGCAAGAGAAGGCAAGAUGCAAGUCACACUCUUUUUGUAACCUAAUCCCAUCACAUUUCCUGAAUUCUGCUCAUUAGAAAGAAGUCACUAGAUUCAGCCCACAUUCAAGAUGAGAAAUACCAGAAGGCAGAGAACACUGAGGCUGUUUUAGAGGCUGUCAACCCCAGGGAGACAGACAGCAAAUAAGUAAGCAAAUAAAUAAAAAUGGAAGGUGAUAAUAAGUGCAAUGAAAAGAAAUGAAGCAGAGUAAAGAAUCAAGAGUAGCAGUUGAGGGGAUGCUUGGAUGUUUUCACACCACUCUGACACAUGGAUGGAAGGUUAGAAGACAACAAAGGAAUGGGCUGGGAAGGACUCCAAAAGCAGAAUCAGAGAUUAUAUCAUUCCUUGGAAAUGGAGAAAAGGAUCAAAAAAGCUGAAUAAAAGGCAAACAUGGAGGAACAGAGUUUGGAGCAAUACCCUGACUUACAUUCAGUACUGUUAAUGGCUCCAGCAUCUUGAAACAAACCAAUUUUGGAUUUUCAGUGAAAAAGAAAGCCAACCCAGAAAAUCACUUAGGAAGAUCCAGACAACAGAUGGUACGCCAAAAGUGAACAAUGAUCUCAGUAACUGAGGCCUCAGAGACAAGAUGAUCCAUUCCACAGCUGGAUAUUGUAAAACUUGGGUACCAGUGGUGCGCAGAUCUGACCAUUAAAACUAUGUACUUCUUGAGUCACAAACCAGUGUGUGUGACUGGUUAAAACCCAGUCACAACCUGGAAAAAGUUGUGGAAAGCACCUGGGGACUGAGGAGAAGCAAACUUCCUUAGGUUUACACAGUAUGGCUGGCACCUUAAGCAAGUUAAAAUCGGUCUCAAUUCCCUGCAGAAUAAGGGCAACACCAAUUAUGCUACCUACUUCAUGCAAGAACCUAAAAUGAAAAAUAAAAUUGCUUUUAAAAUGUGCUCCAGCCAAAUAAGCUGGUAUUUUAUGAAAA
RNAcentral lists this long non-coding RNA (1159 nucleotides) under Homo sapiens (human). Its description in RNAcentral is "long intergenic non-protein coding RNA 2831". The record is from RNAcentral. Lineage: Eukaryota; Metazoa; Chordata; Mammalia; Primates; Hominidae.